UUGCCUACGGGGCGCAGCAGUGGGGGAUAUUGCACAAUGGGGGGAACCCUGAUGCAGCGACGCCGCGUGGGUGAAGGAGCGUUUCGGCGCGUAAAGCCCUAUCGGCAGGGAAGAAGAUGACGGUACCUGACCAAGAAGCCCCGGCUAACUACGUGCCAGCAGCCGCGGUAAUACGUAGGGGGCAAGCGUUAUCCGGAUUUACUGGGUGUAAAGGGAGCGUAGACGGUUAUGUAAGUCUGGAGUGAAAGCCCGGGGCCCAACCCCGGGACUGCUUUGGAAACUGUGUAAAUGGGGUACAGGGGGGG
This 305-nucleotide ribosomal RNA is filed under the name uncultured bacterium. RNAcentral describes it as "partial 16S ribosomal RNA". It matches the Rfam family "Bacterial small subunit ribosomal RNA", at positions 335 to 657 of the family's 1533-position model. The record is from RNAcentral.